Paramisgurnus dabryanus is the source of this 2295-nucleotide long non-coding RNA. RefSeq lists it as uncharacterized. Lineage: Eukaryota; Metazoa; Chordata; Actinopteri; Cypriniformes; Cobitidae. The record is from RefSeq and is a predicted model, not a curated record.
UCCUCACCUUGGCAGGGAUUUUCAAAAAUGUUUGGUUUCAGUGCACUGAUACUGCGUUUUUGCGUGGACAAACGGCCGAACCACAUAAAAAAAUAACACGGUUAUAAAAAUACUCCGGUCCGUGUGGACUAGGUCUAAGUCUUUAAUAGAAUCUGUGUCCAUUUAGUUUACAUAUUACAAAUACACAGAUAGUGAUGCUUUGUUUUGAAUGGAGAUGGGGUGUGAGACUGACUGUGAGUGUGUACAAAAGCUUAGUUUUUAAUAAUGGUUGUUGUGGAUCCUGUAUAAAAUUUGUCUUAAGCCCUGUUUUCUCUCUCUCUCUCUCUCUCUCUCUCUCUCUCUUUCUCUCUCCCUAUACUGUAGUUUGCAAUGAAUUGUGGGAGCAUGCUAAAUGCAAAUUUUACAGUUAUGUCUGCAAUACUGUAUUUUUGAAAUAGGCUAAUAUGUAAAUGCUACAGGACAACAUGUAAUGACACUUAUUAUUUUAUUUGAUGUAUUUAUUUAAAAAGUCAGCUGUGGCACUAGUUUGGAAAUAAAAGCUUUGGCACUUUACAAUAACUGCAAUAAAUGCAGCCUAUUAAAUGAAUUAUAAACAUUCAUGUAGAUUCUGAUAAUGUACAUAUCUUUGUCAAAAAUGUUUGAUAAGAAACACAUUUAGACAACAUGUGUGCGUAGCGCAGUACGUGUGAUGUCACGACGUCAUCAGCAAAUUUGCGCCCGGUGCACAUGCGCAUUGCGAGUUUGCGCAGACAGGUGUCUACGGUCGGAGUGGAAUGAAGAAGUUGCAUCUGAUAAUUCUUCCAUUGUGUAGCAGCAACUGCAGCUGACAUGGAAUGAGGAUUAUCGGAUUCACCUCUCACUGAUCAUCCAAGGUGAAUUGAUGACCUCAAGCAAAUGGAUGUUGUUGUCAUCUGAAGAGAAGGUUGUCCUGGGCCCAUGUUUAGAGGCAUUUGGGGCAUAUCUGACACAUAUCACAAUCAAGCUGCAUGCACACUUGAGUUUAUUCAGAGAGAAGUUGUGGGCAUCAGUCCGGAAACUGGAUAAAAAAUUUGCUGCUGGAAUGUGAGACAAAUAAAGGCAUGGAAUGAACCCAAAUGUAUGAACACUGCUACGAAAACUAAUGGACUUUGAAUGGCUUGCCAGUUAAUUCCAAUGGAAUUGAAGAAGAGACUCUGACAAGAUUUUCAAGUUUGUGUUUAAUUUAAAAGUUUAUCUUCAUAGAUAAGCAAUUUAAAGGUAGGCACAGUUAAAACUAUUUCUUGUGUGUUUGUUUAAACUGUAAAUUUAUGACUGAAGUUUGGUCACUAUGUAGUAAUGUGUUCCUUUGUGGUUAAUUAAAUGCUGCAGUGCUUAGUGGUAUUCGUUGUUGUAUUUCCAAGGCUAAAGCCUUAUUUUGUGAUCUGCAUUGUAUUGGAGAGUUUUGGAAACUAAUACUUAUUAUCUUAAUGCAUUGGAAAGUUUUGGACUAUUGAACAAUAAAUGCAUUUGGCUACAUCUGUGAUUUUCUGUUAUUUUAAGUGUUUUAGUUUACAUUACAUUAAAUGAUUUAUCACAGCAGUUAAAAAAAAUUACAGUAAUUUUUUUUACAGUGUAGGCUACCAUGACACAAGUUGCAGCUCCAAAAACAUUUCUUAGUCAAGUUGUAUAGCUACAAGCAGCACAAAACCAAAGAAGUGGAUUUGAUGAAGUCAUGUUGUAGUAUUGCUGAACAAUGUUCACCAGUUAGAGAUUGAGGUGGAAUGUGAGUUAACAGUGGACGUGGUCUUACUUUGCAGCAAGAGCAAAACCCUAAAAGUUUCAAUGCUGAAGAGGGAUACAUUUUAAACACUAUAAAUUUACUGAUUUAUGUAAUUUUACUUACAUUUCUACAGAAAAAUAAUCAAUAAAACAUUUACAGAAAUUUUCUGUAAAAAUAAUUUUUUAAUCUGUAAAAAUGAACGGCAAAUUUCUGUGGAAAUUAACGGCAAAUGUCUGAAAAUUAACGGCAAAUGUCUGAAAAUUAACGGCAAAUGUCUGUGGAAAUUAACGGCAAAUGUCUGUGGAAAUUAACGGCAAAUGUCUGUGGAAAUUAACGGCAAAUGUCUGGAAAUUAACGGCAAAUUUCUGUGAAAAUUAAUGGCAAAUGUCUGUGGAAAUUAACGGCAAAUGUCUAAAUAUUAACGGCAAAUGUCUGUAAAAAUUAACGGCAAAUGUCUGUGGAAAUUAACGGCAAAUUUCUGUGGAAAUUAACGGCAAAUGUCUGAAAAUUAACGGCAAAUGUCUGUGAAAAUUAACGGCAAAUGUUUGUGAAAAUUA